UGAACUCAAAUACGUAUGGAGUUGCAAUGUUAGCUACGUUUGCCGCUAGGGGCGCUGUUCCAACGGCAUACAAAUUCGAGUUA
RNAcentral lists this microRNA precursor (83 nucleotides) under Bombyx mori (domestic silkworm). RNAcentral's name for it is "mir-2807 microRNA precursor family". It matches the Rfam family "mir-2807 microRNA precursor family". Lineage: Eukaryota; Metazoa; Arthropoda; Insecta; Lepidoptera; Bombycidae. The record is from Rfam by way of RNAcentral.